Molecule: ribosomal RNA, 1134 nt
Filed under: Salmonella enterica subsp. enterica serovar Typhimurium
Lineage: Bacteria; Pseudomonadati; Pseudomonadota; Gammaproteobacteria; Enterobacterales; Enterobacteriaceae
Description: partial 23S ribosomal RNA
Rfam family: Bacterial large subunit ribosomal RNA
Source: RNAcentral
GGGUAGAGCACUGUUUCGGCUAGGGGGUCAUCCCGACUUACCAACCCGAUGCAAACUGCGAAUACCGAAGAAUGUUAUCACGGGAGACACACGGCGGGUGCUAACGUCCGUCGUGAAGAGGGAAACAACCCAGACCGCCAGCUAAGGUCCCAAAGUCAUGGUUAAGUGGGAAACGAUGUGGGAAGGCACAGACAGCCAGGAUGUUGGCUUAGAAGCAGCCAUCAUUUAAAGAAAGCGUAAUAGCUCACUGGUCGAGUCGGCCUGCGCGGAAGAUGUAACGGGGCUAAACCAUGCACCGAAGCUGCGGCAGCGACACUAUGUGUUGUUGGGUAGGGGAGCGUUCUGUAAGCCGUUGAAGGUGGACUGUGAGGUCUGCUGGAGGUAUCAGAAGUGCGAAUGCUGACAUAAGUAACGAUAAAGCGGGUGAAAAACCCGCUCGCCGGAAGACCAAGGGUUCCUGUCCAACGUUAAUCGGGGCAGGGUGAGUCGACCCCUAAGGCGAGGCCGAAAGGCGUAGUCGAUGGGAAACAGGUUAAUAUUCCUGUACUCGGUGUUACUGCGAAGGGGGGACGGAGAAGGCUAUGUUGGCCGGGCGACGGUUGUCCCGGUUUAAGCGUGUAGGUGGAGCAAUUAGGUAAAUCCGGUUGCUUAUUAACACUGAGGCGUGAUGACGAGGCACUACGGUGCUGAAGUGACAAAUGCCCUGCUUCCAGGAAAAGCCUCUAAGCAUCAGGUAACACAGAAUCGUACCCCAAACCGACACAGGUGGUCAGGUAGAGAAUACCAAGGCGCUUGAGAGAACUCGGGUGAAGGAACUAGGCAAAAUGGUGCCGUAACUUCGGGAGAAGGCACGCUGGUGCGUAGGUGAAGCGACUUGCUCACGGAGCUGAAACCAGUCGAAGAUACCAGCUGGCUGCAACUGUUUAUUAAAAACACAGCACUGUGCAAACACGAAAGUGGACGUAUACGGUGUGACGCCUGCCCGGUGCCGGAAGGUUAAUUGAUGGGGUUAGCGGCAACGCGAAGCUCUUGAUCGAAGCCCCGGUAAACGGCGGCCGUAACUAUAACGGUCCUAAGGUAGCGAAAUUCCUUGUCGGGUAAGUUCCGACCUGCACGAAUGGCGUAAUGAUGGCC